GAUGAACGCUGGCGGCGUGCCUAAUACAUGCAAGUCGAGCGAACAGACGAGGAGCUUGCUCCUUUGACGUUAGCGGCGGACGGGUGAGUAACACGUAGGUAACCUACCUAUAAGACUGGGAUAACUUCGGGAAACCGGAGCUAAUACCGGAUAAUAUUUCGAACCGCAUGGUUCGAUAGUGAAAGAUGGCUUUGCUAUCACUUAUAGAUGGACCUGCGCCGUAUUAGCUAGUUGGUAAGGUAACGGCUUACCAAGGCAACGAUACGUAGCCGACCUGAGAGGGUGAUCGGCCCCACUGGAACUGAGCCACGGUCCAGACUCCUACGGGAGGCAGCAGUAGGGAAUCUUCCGCAAUGGGCGAAAGCCUGACGGAGCAACGCCGCGUGAGUGAUGAAGGUCUUCGGAUCGUAAAACUCUGUUAUUAGGGAAGAACAAACGUGUAAGUAACUGUGCACGUCUUGACGGUACCUAAUCAGAAAGCCACGGCUAACUACGUG
This 497-nucleotide ribosomal RNA is filed under the name uncultured bacterium. RNAcentral's name for it is "partial 16S ribosomal RNA". It matches the Rfam family "Bacterial small subunit ribosomal RNA", at positions 28 to 507 of the family's 1533-position model. The record is from RNAcentral.